CAAAUAACCAGGUAGUUUUGAAUGACUUGGUGUAGUUAGAGGGUGGAGACCUGUCCCUUGCAUUGUGGGCAGGCUGACCCCAGCAGAAGUCUCCAAAUGCGAGGAUCUUGGCUAUGCAAUUUAUGGUGAUGGCGGGUUGCUCUUGGGCUUUCCCUGU
Small nuclear RNA from Alligator sinensis (Chinese alligator), 157 nucleotides. RefSeq annotates it as U1 spliceosomal RNA. The record is from RefSeq and is a predicted model, not a curated record. Lineage: Eukaryota; Metazoa; Chordata; Crocodylia; Alligatoridae. The transcript has a single exon.